RNAcentral lists this transfer RNA (78 nucleotides) under Nitrososphaeria archaeon. RNAcentral's name for it is "tRNA-Gln". It matches the Rfam family "tRNA". From Rfam's summary of the family: Transfer RNA (tRNA) molecules are approximately 80 nucleotides in length. Their secondary structure includes four short double-helical elements and three loops (D, anti-codon, and T loops). The record is from RNAcentral. Lineage: Archaea; Thermoproteati; Nitrososphaerota; Nitrososphaeria.
AGCCCGGUGGUGUAGUCAGGCCAAGCAUUCCGGCCUUUGGAGCCGGAGACGAGGGUUCGAAUCCUUCCCGGGCUACCA